Molecule: long non-coding RNA, 4022 nt
Organism: Ruditapes philippinarum (Manila clam)
Lineage: Eukaryota; Metazoa; Mollusca; Bivalvia; Venerida; Veneridae
Exons: 2
Source: RefSeq, a predicted model, not a curated record
AACUUUUCAAACCUUAUAAAGAAUGUCUCUAAACAUAUGUAGCCCAUUUUUAUCAUUUAUAUAAAUUCACUGUUAGUCAUAAGACAGACUUUGUUGGAAUCUCAAUAUAUGUAGUCUGUUUAAUUGAAACAUUCUACUUAACUUAAGAAAUUUUCCGUAUAGAACUAAUAGAUCUAGUAUUUCCCGGUUUCAUCUUCAUAAAUUCAGAAUUUUAACUUCGUGAAUUCCCGUUUUCAACAUGUGGAAUUCACGAUUUCAGCUUCAUGGAUACCCGAUUUCAACUUCACGAGUUCACGUUUUCAACUUCACGAAUUCACUUUCGUGAAUUCACGAUUUCAACUUCACGAAUUCACAAUUUCAACUUCACAAAUUCAACGUCGUGAAUUCACGAUUUCAUCUUCACUAAUUCACGAUUUUAACUUCAUCUUGUUCAGAAUCUUGUUCUACUACUUAGAAGUACCUCUUAGAAGUACCACUUUAUACUACUCUGUACAAUUGAAUAUUUGCAAUGUUUUAUUAUGUUGCCAAUAUUUUUUCUGUUAAUGUAGUAGCUUACAUACUUAUUUCCCUUAAUCUUUUUUAAUAAUAGUUAUGUAAGCAUUGCUAGAUAUUUGCUUAGAUUUUUGUUUAUAUUUUAUGUUUUUGUCAAUGUAUUCUGUCGAUGUGUUAGCUUUAUAAUUAUAGGCUCUAUCUACCUUUACCUAAGUCACAAGACAGACAUUGUUGGAAGUCUAUCUAAUUGAAACAUUCUACUAAAUUUAAAAAAAUGUUCCGUAUAGAACUAAAAGAUCUAGUAUUUCGGAUGAAGUCCGUCUUAGAACACUUUUAACUUCCAGUAAAUAUACAGGUAAGAACUGAAUAUAGUUAGAAAGACCGGAAGGGGCAUUUCAACUUCAUGACUUUCCGAUUUCAUCUUUAUGAAUUCACAAUUUUAGCUUCGUGAAUUCCCGUUUUCAACAUGCAGAAUUCACGAUUUCACGAAUUCAGAUUCAUAAAUACCCGAAUUCAACUUCACGAAUUCACGAUUUCAAUUUCAUGAAUUCCCGAUUUCAAUUUCACGAAUUCAACUUCGUGAAUUCCCAACUUCAGCUUCAUGAAUUCCCGAUAUCGAUUUCACGAGUUCACGAUUUCAACUUCACGAAUUCAACGUCGUGAAUUCACGAUUUCAACUUCAUGAAUUCACGAUUUCAGCAUCAUGAAUUCAAGAUUUCAACUUCAUUAAUUCACGAUUUCAACUUCAUCAUGUUCAGAAUUUUUCUACUUCUUAGAAGGGAGAUAUUGCUAUACAUAAAAUAGCACAAUAUAUCAACUCGAAGUACAAUUUGUCGAAUUAACCCUACGGACAGUCCUGUAAAACUGUUUGCAUUAAUUAAGAUAAAUUGUUAAUAAAUUUGUUGAGUUUUCACAAUUCAUUUAAUUUUAAUACCCCUAUUUUAAAUAUGCUAAAUCUGAUCUUGUUAAUAUAACUGCCAAAAUAUGCACACGAUAACAUCUCCUUCAGGGACAAAUUCAAAAAAGAAAAACAAGUAAAACAUACAAAUAUACUCUAAAACAGGGAAAUGUUCUACUUCGAAGUUUAUCUAUAUUUAGGUUUAUAAUAAAUAUCAAAGUCUGGAAAAGCUCUUAGGAACUGAAAAUAUAUCAAACCCCGCAUGAACAAUACAUUACUCUCGUGGGCCAAUAACAUGCAUAUGCAUUACCAUCGAAAUGUUCCUGUAACUUUAACUUUAUAAAAAGGGUUGGGCAGUCUUUUUUUAAUAUUUUAGGCAGAUUAAUGGUCUAUCGUUAAGUUUUUUCAAUAGCAACUGUUGGUCAAUUAUCAUAUUAAUAGUGAAUGUUUUGAGAUAUAUAUUAAGUUAAUAUUGACAAUGAACUAGAAAUGUAUCGUCACAACACGGAUGUGCAGCCAACAUGCAGCCAAAAUGUCAAAUGUUGUAGUAAUAUUUAGUUUCAAAUUUGUUUGCACAAACUAUUUUUUCAUUCUAAGUUGAAAGCCCUUAAACUAUUCAAUGUUAACACAAACCAUUUUUAUACAAAGUUCAAGGCCAUGAAACUAUUUUAUCUAUGUUUACCUUUUGCAUAUUGCAUAUCUGUAGCCGAGAAAAUGACUUCAUACAUUUCCACAUGUGGAAUGCGGAAACUGAAAAUUUCAAUUUUUUCCUAAAGUUCAAAAUCAAUGAACCAUGACCACAUUCAAACUUGGCCUGCUUAUUCCUAAGAUGCAUCUAUAUGUCCAAUAUGAGUUGAAUGUGUACAACCGUUGGGGAGAUAUGGACGGAAAGUAAAACUUUCUUCUUUUUUUCAAAGUGAAAGGGGCAUAACCCUGCCAGAAAUUAUCAAAUCAUGACUUAAUUCAAACCUGACCAGCGUAUUUCUUUGACAUAUCUAUACCCUAAAUUUGAAUUGAAUAAGUUCAAAUGUUUGGGAUAUAAUGAAGGAAUUAUUAAGUAUGUAAGUAAGAUAGCAUCACUCGCGCGUCUACCGGCUAACGCAUAUUCCACACUUUACAGUAACAUGUUUGCAAUGUUUAAUUAUGAUGUCAAUAUAAUUUCUGCUAAUGAAGUAGCUUACAUUUAUUAUUUCCCUUAAUUUUUAAAUAAUGGUUAAACUAGCAUUGCUAAAAAUGUUUCAAUUAUCUUAUAUUAUAUUUUAUGUUAUUGUCAAUGAAUUCUGUAUGUGUGUUAGCUUAAUAUAUGCUCAAUCUAUCUUCAAUAUUUAGUUUGGUGAUUAUUAUGAGAGGUGUAAUAUUGUUGUUCCAAUUUUACUUUAAGUAAAACGUACUUGUCAUAAUUAUCCCUCAACAAUUUACGUUCUUUAAUCAUUCCGCAAUGAUAAAUGUAAUUAGUAUCAUCGCAAAAAAGCAUGGUGAAACAUCGCUGUCAAUUUGAAUGUUCACAGUCAAUUUUAAUUUCUUUUAUCAAAUUGUUAUCUUUUUACUUUUUAGGCACCUUGCACUUAAAUACAAACGUUUUGUGUUUCCAUAUCUUUGUUUUUGUUGUUGAAUUUUUGUCAAAAUGAAUACAAAGUUGUAAGCAAAAGUUAAAUGGUGAAAUUUGCAGAAUCGGUUUGAUUUAGUCAAGCGAUGACUAUAAUAAUAAUAAAUGAUGAUGAUUGCAACAUAUCUUACCCACUAGUUCCGGCUUUAGCGGUAUGCAAUCUUCUAUCAUCGAAAAUGUUAGAAUUUCUAUUGAUCAAUAUAGCUUAAUUUUUUUUCAAUUUGUUUUACAUAUUAUUUGUAUUAUAGUUGAAUAAUAUUUUUAUUAUGUUGCUAGCAAAAAAAUCAUUACAUUCGUUCAGUAUGUUGAAUUGAUCUGCCAUAUAUUACCCUUUUCUUAAAAAUGUGAUUCUGACUUAAUCAGAGCAAAAUGUUUCAAUUUAUGUUCAGUAAAACAACUAUUUAUCACUAUAUUAAUUCAUGUUUAUUAAUCAUUCAUAUACCACAUUUUAAUGAGUACCAUCUUAGAAAAAGUGGGUGGAUAUUAUUGACCAAUUUUCAAGAUUUUUCCCUUCAGUUGUAAUUAUUUUUAGAUGUAAUUGUAUGUACAUGUAGCAUUAGUUUUUGAACGUAAAGCACUUUUGUGAAAUUAUUUGCGUUUCGAUAUUUUGGCGUAAACUGAUUUUUUAUUAAGUUAAAGUUUAAAAAGGCCUGAAAAUGGAUGUUUUAAACAAAAUUUAUAUUUUUUUCACUGAUAUUCAUUUCAGAGUUAUUUUGUUAUAAUUAAUUUUUAAGAUGUGUAAUAAUAAUAAUUAUAAUAAUAAUAAUAAUAAGACCAAUAAAAAUAAAUAUAUAAUAAUAAUAACAACAGUAAUUCAACUUCAGUUUCGAUAAAACGUGCCAGUUAUCAUUUUGUUUGUUUCCAAUGAGCUAUGAUAUAUCCUUAACCUAACUGUAUAGUUUCAAUUGUAUCUUGAAAUUCUUUGAGUGUAUGUUUGGUUUCUGUGCAAGUUAUUGGCUUAUAGCGUUCAAUCCUUUAUCGCUUGUUCCACUAUACAUGUAUAUAUAAUAAAAUAUAUUACUCAUA